UACGGAGGAUGCAAGCGUUAUCCGGAAUGAUUGGGCGUAAAGCGUCCGCAGGUGGUUAUACAAGUCUGCUGUCAAAGCGCAAGGCUCAACCUUGUAAAGGCAGUGGAAACUGUGUGACUAGAGAGUGAUAGGGGCAGAGGGAAUUCCUGGUGUAGCGGUGAAAUGCGUAGAGAUCAGGAAGAACACCGGUGGCGAAAGCGCUCUGCUAGGCCGCAACUGACACUGAGGGACGAAAGCUAGGGGAGCGAAUGGG
RNAcentral lists this ribosomal RNA (253 nucleotides) under uncultured bacterium. Its description in RNAcentral is "partial 16S ribosomal RNA". It matches the Rfam family "Bacterial small subunit ribosomal RNA", at positions 524 to 776 of the family's 1533-position model. The record is from RNAcentral.